RNAcentral lists this unclassified non-coding RNA (253 nucleotides) under uncultured Halomonadaceae bacterium. Its description in RNAcentral is "contains 16S-23S intergenic spacer region". It matches the Rfam family "Bacterial small subunit ribosomal RNA", at positions 524 to 776 of the family's 1533-position model. Lineage: Bacteria; Pseudomonadati; Pseudomonadota; Gammaproteobacteria; Oceanospirillales; Halomonadaceae. The record is from RNAcentral.
UACGGAGGGUGAGAGCGUUAAUCGGAAUUACUGGGCGUACAGCGCGCGGAUGCGGCGUGCUAAGCCGGUUGUGAAAGCCCCGGGCUCAACCUGGGAACGGCAUCCGGAACUGUCAGGCUAGAGGGCAGGAGAGGAAGGUAGAAUUCCCGGUGUAGCGGUGAAAUGCGUAGAGAUCGGGAGGAAUAUCAGUGGCGAAGGCGGCCUUCUGGACUGACACUGACGCUGAGGUGCGAAAGCGUGGGUAGCAAACAGG